RNAcentral lists this ribosomal RNA (466 nucleotides) under uncultured microorganism. Its description in RNAcentral is "bacterial SSU rRNA". It matches the Rfam family "Bacterial small subunit ribosomal RNA", at positions 346 to 794 of the family's 1533-position model. The record is from RNAcentral.
GCGCAGCAGGCGCGAAUCGUUCACAAUGGGCGCAAGCCUGAUGGCGCGACGCCGCGUGUGGGAUGGAGGCCUUCGGGUUGUAAACCACUGUCACAGGGGAAGAAAGGCACGGAUGCUAACAUCGUCCGUGUUUGACGUUACCCUGAGAGGAAGCCACGGCUAACUCCGUGCCAGCAGCCGCGGUAAUACGGAGGUGGCAAGCGUUGUUCGGAAUUACUGGGCGUAAGGUAGCGCAGGCGGUCUGUUGUGUUCGAUGUGAAAUCCCCCGGCCGUCACCCGGGGAACCGUGCAUCGAAAACUAGACAGACUUGAGUGCAGGAGAGGAGAGCGGAAUUUCCGGUGUAGCGGUGAAAUGCGUAGAUAUCGGAAGGAACGCACGUGGCGGAAAAGCGGGCUCUCUGGUCUGCGAACUGACGCUGAGGCACGAAAGCCAGGGUAAGCAAACGGAUUAGAUACCCCGUGUAGU